This 2139-nucleotide ribosomal RNA is filed under the name Triticum aestivum (bread wheat). RNAcentral describes it as "partial small subunit ribosomal RNA". Lineage: Eukaryota; Viridiplantae; Streptophyta; Magnoliopsida; Poales; Poaceae. The record is from RNAcentral.
AUGGAGUACGUGGCGGUGGCGCGGUCUCUGACUCCGAUGAGCCGCAGGACUCGCCAUGCUCACCGCCUCCAGCUCGUCGCCGAUCCUCCUCUGCAGGCUCCUCCUCCUCCUCCUCUUCCUCCUCCGUUGCAGCCAACGACGGCGGGCAUCGGCAUCGGCAACGGCGUACAUGUGCAGCAACAACAACACAGCCAGAGGCGCAUGGAUCUUGAGCAAGGGCCAACGACGGCAGGCAUCGGCAACGGAAACCACAACGGCGUGCAGGUGCAGCAACAACAGAGCCAGAGGCGCAUGGAUCUUGAGCAAGAGGUGGCGGAGCUGAAGCAGCAGCUGAGCAACGAGCAGAUGGUGCACCACAUCCUCGAGCGCGCCCUGCACGCCCCGACAAAUUCAUCAACCUCGGCGCGCUCCGUGCUCCUCAACAUCCCGGCAUUCAUCCCGGCCAAGGCCAAACAGCUGCUCGCCGAGCUCGUGCUCGUCGAGGAGGAGAUCGUGCGCCUCGAGUCGCAGAUCCAUACCAUGAAGGGAAGCCUGAACCUCUCGCAGCAACAACGAGCAUCGGUUGCAAUGGCCUCCAACACGUGCUCGUACCCGCCAAGUGUCCACACCGACAACGGCAAUGGCAACCCGCCAAGCAUCUACACUAACAAUAGCAGUGGCAAUGGUCGAGUCAGCAAUGGAGGAGCAGCUACACGCACCACGGCGCACUCGGCUCCGGCAUCGGCUCGUCAUGGCAACAACAAUGUCAACGGAGGAGCUACGCCUACGACAGGUAACGGCACGCCAACGCACACAGCGCCGACGUUGGUUCGUCAAGCCUCGGGUCAGGUGGCGCCGGAGAUAAAGUCCAUGUUCUUCAUCAGCCAGGCCAUGAACGCCGAGUACCUCCAGCGCCACCUCGCCGCCACGGCCACCGACGACAAGCCGGCCAAGAGCCCCAGAGAGCAGGCGAGAGGCUCCUCUGGAUCCGCCGCCGUCAGCCCGAAGCUCAACGGUAACAUCUUUGGCCUCCCGCCAAGAAACUCCCUUGAAAAGCAAUCGGAGCGAGCACCCCAAAAACCUCCGAGAGUCUCCCAAGAAGCAUCGCCUCCGGCACUGGCGCCGGCGAAGAGGGACGAGCAGAGCAAGGCCCAGCUGCCGAACAAGCUGUCGGAGCGGAUCGUGAAGUGCCUGGCGGUGAUCUUCAUCAGGCUGCUCCGGUCGUCGCGGGUGGCGGAGAUGGAGAAGUCCGGCAACCUAGCCAGGUCCGGGAACCUGCAGGGGAGCUUCCGGAUCGACGCGGUUCUGAACGUGGCGGCGGCCAAGGAGAAGGAUCAGAGGGGGAAGCAGGACCACUACGGCAUCUUCGCGGUGCCGGACUCGGUGGUCCGGGACAUCGGCCCCUACAAGAACCUCGUCAGGUUCACGUCGAGUGCUUUCGAUCUCAGAGGGUUCUCCAGCUCCACUCUCCUCACCAAGCUGAGGGAGAUGUUGGAGGCCUUGCAGCAGGUGGAUUUGAGGUUUCUGACGCACCAGCAGAAGCUAGCGUUUUGGCUCAACAUUUACAACACAUGCAUCAUGCACGGAAUCCUGCAGCAUGGUUUGCCCUCAAACUCUGAAAAGUUGCUGGCACUGAAGAACAAGGCAACCAUCAAUGUUUCAGGGCAGAAGUUCAAUGCUCUGGUGAUUGAAAAUUUCGUCUUGAGGCAGCCAUCCAGUGUGAAAGAAGAAUUCUGGAAGUGCGAUGUCGAUGUCGAAGAGCAGCAGGUGAGGGGUCUCUAUGGAUUGAACAGUUCGGAGCCAAACAUUCUGUUCGCGAUGUGCUGCGGCACCAGAUCUUCGCCAGCACUGAGGAUAUACAAGGCGGACCGCGUGAUGAUGGAUCUGGAGAAGGCGAAGCUGGACUACCUGCAAGCAUCGCUGGUGGUGACCUCGACGAGGAGGCUGAUGAUCCCGGGCCUGAUACACUCCAACAUGCACGACUUCGCCAAGAACAUGGAGUCGCUGCUCCGGUGGAUCUGCGACCAGCUCCCCACAUCUUGGUCGCUCAGGAAAUCCAUGGUGGACUGCCUCAGGGGACACCAGGGCCACCUCAAGGUUGAAGACGUCGUGGAGGUGAUCCAAUAUGAUUAUGAGUUUCAGUACCUGUUGCCCAUGUGA